This 979-nucleotide long non-coding RNA is filed under the name Calidris pygmaea (Spoon-billed sandpiper). Its description in RNAcentral is "lncRNA (ENSCPGG00000018200.1)". The record is from RNAcentral. Lineage: Eukaryota; Metazoa; Chordata; Aves; Charadriiformes; Scolopacidae.
AAGGUUGUGCAGGCCGGGCGGGCGGCGCGGCGGUGCUGCGAGGGGGAGGGAAGGCCUCUUCCGCCGGCGGCCGUCUCAGGUGAGCGGGCGGGGAGCGGGGGUGGUCCCGGUGGGCGUCGGGGUCGCGCUCCGGCUGGCUCCUAUUGUCACUCUCAGCGGGCUCCGGCCAUGGCACUCACUCACUCACACACACACACUCACUCACUCACUCACUCACAAGCCAGCCUGCUGCCACCGCCCCGCGGCCCGCCCCCCCGCGCCCGCCCACCGGAGCCCGUCGCCAGGACGCGCCGCCUCAUUGGCGCCCGCCGCCGCCGCCGGGACAGCCGGGAAAGGGGGAGUGCUGCCGGGGAAGGAGGCGGUGCCGGUCGGGGCGGCGGCGGCGGCGCCCAGCGGCUCCUCCUUGCCAUCGGCCUUCUCGUCCCUUAGCGGGGCGGGGGGGGGGAGACGGACGAGCGCCGCCGCCGCCAGAGCGCGAGGCCCGUCGGCUUUUGCAGUGUCUUCCUCAGCCAACGUCCACUCCCCAACCGCCUCUGAAGGUUCCGGUGCUCCCCACCCCCGUGUCUCCACAGGACUGUCUCUGGCACCUGAAACUACGCCUGGACAUCGAGCGCCUGCCCGUGUGUCACCUUGUCCGCUGUGCCACCAGUUGGAGAAUUUACAACAUUAUCCUGUGUCAGGUGAGUCCCGGAAGAAUUUAUAGCAAGAAUCAGUAGCCAAAACUUGAAUGAGAGAAGAUAAAAAAUAGAGUUGAGAAUUUUCAGGGGUUGCAAGGAGGAGUUGAAAACAUGAUUUUGCCAAGGCACCGAGCAGCACCAGCAGACACCUCUCGAAAAUUCAUCUUAAGCUAUAUUUAGUACAUUCAAAGAAAUUGUGGCUCCCACUUGAGCCAUUUCAGCUCAAAUACAGAUAAACAACAAUCAGAUCACAUAGGCUGUUUGCUCGUCUUGCGUAAAUAAAUAUUGAACAGAAUUGUGCA